CGAGGAGACCAGGGGAUCGCUCGCGGCCUCGUGCCGUGAGAGGAAAGUCCGAGCUCCACAGGGCAGAGCGCCGGGUAAUUCCCGGUCGAGGCGACUCGGAGGAAAGUGCAACAGAGAGCAGACCGCCGCGGUCGGGUCCCUGAGCUUCGGCGAGGGGGUCCAUCAGACCUACGGUGAGGGUGAAAGGGUGCGGUAAGAGCGCACCGGCGCCUCCGGUGACGGGGGCGGCCAGGCAAACCCCGCUCGGAGCAAGACCAAAUAGGGGAGCACAUCGGGCGGCCCGUCCGCGCUCCCGGGUCGGUCGCUAGAGGCCGUCGGUAACGGCGGUCCAAGAUGAAUGAUCUCCACCUCCGCGAGGGCGACCAGACGGGGGCACAGAACUCGGCUUACGGGCUCACUCGGACC
This 405-nucleotide RNase P RNA is filed under the name Deltaproteobacteria bacterium. RNAcentral describes it as "RNase P RNA component class A". It matches the Rfam family "Bacterial RNase P class A". Rfam says of the family: Ribonuclease P (RNase P) is a ubiquitous endoribonuclease, found in archaea, bacteria and eukarya as well as chloroplasts and mitochondria. Lineage: Bacteria; Pseudomonadati; Myxococcota; Myxococcia. The record is from RNAcentral.